This 274-nucleotide ribosomal RNA is filed under the name uncultured bacterium. RNAcentral's name for it is "partial 16S ribosomal RNA". It matches the Rfam family "Bacterial small subunit ribosomal RNA", at positions 523 to 796 of the family's 1533-position model. The record is from RNAcentral.
AUACGGAGGGUGCAAGCGUUGUUCGGAAUUACUGGGCGUAAAGCGCGCGUAGGUGGUCUGUUAUGUCAGAUGUGAAAGUCCACGGCUCAACCGUGGAAGUGCAUUUGAAACUGGCAGACUUGAGUACUGGAGGGGGUAGUGGAAUUCCCGGUGUAGAGGUGAAAUUCGUAGAUAUCCGGAGGAAUACCGGUGGCGAAGGCGACUACCUGGCCAGAUACUGACACUGAGGUGCGAAAGCGUGGGGAGCGAACAGGAUUAGAUACCCUUGUAGUCC